RNAcentral lists this ribosomal RNA (210 nucleotides) under Clostridioides difficile. Its description in RNAcentral is "partial 23S ribosomal RNA". It matches the Rfam family "Bacterial large subunit ribosomal RNA", at positions 432 to 644 of the family's 2925-position model. Lineage: Bacteria; Bacillati; Bacillota; Clostridia; Peptostreptococcales; Peptostreptococcaceae. The record is from RNAcentral.
CCCUGUGGGAAGCAGGAGGGACCACCCUCCAAGGCUAAAUACUACCUAGUGACCGAUAGCGUAUAGUACCGUGAGGGAAAGGCGAAAAGAACCCCGUGAGGGGAGUGAAAUAGAACCUGAAACCCUGCACUUACAAGCUGUGGAAGCACAUUUCUUGUGUGACCGCGUACUUUUUGUAGAACGGGCCAACGAGUUACGUUAAGUAGCAAG